GUAUGACUGGAGCAGAAAGCAGGUAACAUAGAUGAUAAAAUCCAGUAGAUUUUGUGGGAAAGCCGAUUGAUGGACUAUGGCAGAAAAUUGCCUUCUUUUUUAUUCACACACUCUUGCAGUGGUUGUAGAUAGGAGAGAGAACAAUGCAUUAUCAUAUCUGGUUUUUUGUUAGGUGUUUGUUUAAGUUUUUAAACUCCAAAUUUUAGGAAAAAGCAUGGAUGACUGUAUAUAGAUUACACAUCUUCAAGAAAUCAUUUGGAGCCAAUUUU
This 269-nucleotide unclassified non-coding RNA is filed under the name Hevea brasiliensis (rubber tree). Lineage: Eukaryota; Viridiplantae; Streptophyta; Magnoliopsida; Malpighiales; Euphorbiaceae. The record is from RNAcentral.